GCGGUACAUGUAUUCCGUUACUCCCCAACACUGCCUGCAGGUUUUAGAUAUCCACCUGGGGCCAACACACCUGAAUCAAAUGAUUAGUUCAUUACCAGGCCUCGGGAGAACUUCAAGGCAUGUUGCAGAAGUAAUUUAGCCAUUUAUCUGCUGUGAUGGAUCAAGGACACAUCUAAAGCCUGCAGGAAACUUGUUGGACACCCCUGAGUUAGGGUUUCUCAGGUGACUUGGAGAUAAACAUAACAUACUGAAAAAAAUUUAAUUGGCAUAUAUUUUUUAUUAUCUUUAUUACUAAAUGUUGAUGUUAUUCAAAUAUGUUAAAAGAUAGUGUGUACAGAAUUUUUUUUACACAAACAGUAGAAACACACCAGCCACCCAUGGCUGUUCUGCGGUACCGUCUGGAUUUAACGUUGUCUGAUCUCUCUCGGCUGACUAAAACACAUUUGUCCUACGGUGACCACCACAGCUUGGAUUAUGUAUGUGAAUUGGUAGUGGAAAGACAACAGAAUUCAGUUGACUUAAACUGCAAUCUACUGACAUCUAGUGGUGAGAUUUUACACACUCUACCUUUAAAACACAUACUUGGGCAAGGGAUGUCAAAAACCCAUUGUAUUUCAAGACCCACAUAAACACUUUAAACUUAAAUUAGUUUAAAGUGUUAUGUUUGUAUUUCAAUACAUAUUUUGUGCAUUUUUAAUCUUGUAGUGAAAUAUCCCUAAUAUUGUAUUUUUUAGGAAUUUUAGGAAUGCAUAUGUUGGCUUUUUUUCCAAUGAUGGCAUAAUAAAAUAGCCACUAAGACUUCCUUGUUUCUUGCCACCCAUGUAAAACUGGCAUUGCUCUUUCAAUUGCAGGAAAACAAGUUAAGGAAAUGAACACUUAAAAGUUUGAACUCAUGGCUUCAGUCAUAUUUGUUGUGCUCAACUGCACUCCCCAGGGGAUCAUCAACAAGAAGUGAAUCGUUUGCAUAGUUUUACAUGCCCAUUAUCUGUAUAAAUUUUAAAAAACAAACAAAAACAAAGUGUAAGUGUGAACCUAAAACAGCAUCCUACACAUACAAGAAAAAAGUUAAUAUUCCCAAUUGUAUCAAUAGUUUAUUACAUACCAUCUCAUAAAAACAUUUUCAACUUUUUCCACAUAUAAACACCGCAAAUUGGUACAUUUACAAAUCUUCAACCAUCCAAAUUCAUACAAAAAAGGAACACUGUGAUAGAGCAAUACACAAGACGGUCUAUUAUUACAAGGACGGCAUGUACUCUGUGUAUGUAUGCAUGUAUAAACCUCGGCAUGUAAGAAUCUCUAUGCAUGUGCGUUUGGCUAUAAAGUCCAGAUAUUGUGAUCAAAUAUUUACUUUGAUCAAAUGUGGAUUAAAACCAGUGGAGACACAUAUACAAGUUAAACAUUUUGGAUGUCAACCUGAUUUAGGCACUGGUGACAGGCUGAUUAGGAAUGAGGUAACCUGAUCAGCCGUUGGGUAAUACUGACACCACAGUAAUUUACCAGUGUGUGACUUCUCAGAAUAAAAUGUUAUCUACAUUAAGGACCUUUUUCCAUCGCUGUAUUACAGUUAAAAGUUAAGUUUUAACCACAGAACAAGAAAUUGUACUAGAUAUUCCUAACUCACCCAAAAUCAAUUCAUGUUUACUGUAUGACACAAACCACAAAGACACCCCUUAUUUUUAGUUUUUCUUUUUUCCUUUUUUUUGUCACCAUGAUGCUAGUUUCAAAAAAAGUGAGUCAAAAAUGGUCAUGCACACACUCACACAGGCGCGCACACACUCACACAUACGCACAUGCAAAUAAAUUAACAUGGAAAAAAGUAAACAAUUUCCAAAUGACAAAAAAAAAAAAAAGAAAAGAAAACCAAACCCAAAACAUCUUUUUGGUUGGGUUUUAAAAUGUGUGGCUAAAUGCAAAAAAUACAUAAGAUAGCAGCUUAAAUCAUGGUACAUUCACAUGAGUUGUUUACUACUACUAAUCUUAGUGGCAUAAACAAGGUAAAAGUAUUCAUGGUACACAUGUUCCAGGCUGAUCGUGCAGAGUGGAGACCGAGGCUAAACUGAAUAUUGAUGUGCAAUUUCGGAAAACCACAAUGUGACUGAGAAACUGUGCAAUCAAAGAAAAGAAAUCCUGUGUCCUUCUUGUGAAUUAGCAGUUUGCAAGUCGUGGAUUCACAUCACAGCGGUCGGCUUCUCCUUCACUGGGAUUUUCUUUAACGUAAGAAUCCCGCUGUUGUUGAAUCGAGGCUGUCUGCUUCGGUUACAGAGGACGUAUUAAGAUGCAACGAGCUCCGAUUUUUUAUUUCAGUGUGGCUUCUUUACUGUCACCUCACUUUGGGCUAGGAACAUGCGGAGAAGUCCCAGAUGCCGGGGACUGAGGGGAGCUCUGGUAGGUCCGCAACAGCACUUUGUGCUUGGUGGCUUCCUCUGUGCGACGGCUUUGUUGUUCCACCAGGAACUCUUUAAGUCGGCUGGAGGCGAAGGUGAGAGUCUGUCUCCUGAGCUUCAUCAGGUAGGAGUCCUGCAGCCAGGCAUGUGUGAAGCAAUCUUUUGUAGUCGGGCGGGCCC
Long non-coding RNA from Astatotilapia calliptera (eastern happy), 2564 nucleotides. The record is from Ensembl. Lineage: Eukaryota; Metazoa; Chordata; Actinopteri; Cichliformes; Cichlidae.